CUUCAAAGGUGGCAGGUAGUUUGAACUCUCCCAGCUAGAAACAAGAGAGCAGUGGUCAUUUUUUAAAUGUAAAUAUGUUGUGUCAGAUAUAUUAAACCAGGAUUAUAUUGCAUCUUUCUAUGUUUGCAUUGCAUCAUUUGAUCUACCAUUGCGUGACAAGGUAAAUCAUGUUUACCUGAAAGCUCCAUCCCUAUCCCUUUGUUGUCAAAAUACAUGCCAUCCAACAAAAUCACACCACAAUCUAAAAAUUUAAUGCAUUUAAACUACAUCAUGUCUCCUGUUCUUUCACUGUUCUCCUAGACAUCCUAAACUUUUCGUGCAUGCAUGGCGUGGCACUCCCACCGUGCUAAGAGUAGUAUUCUUAAGAUUCCCAUUUGCUGCCACCCUGAACAAGCUAGAGAAUUAUAAAAUCUCCCCCCAAAUACGCAUAUUCAUUCUUUCAGGCUAAGCCUUGCAUUUUGAACUUUCACUGACAGCUUCAACUUCUGUUCUUCCAUAUCUCUUAAAACGGCUAGCAAGUUUGCUCUAUAAACAUCACAGCGUUGAUUUGUACUCUCCAACUCAGCAGUCAAUUCACGAAUUUUCUUCUCCUUCUCAUCCGCAGAUUGAAAUGUUGUUGGUCUAUUUUCAUCAACUACAUGUAGCACUUGACUGUCUCCAUUGGUCAGAGCUACACCCUCUGUGUCACCAGCACUUUUAUUUUUUGCAGCAGCAACCUUCUUAGCAGCCUCUUGUAGAGCAUCCAUUGCCACAUUAUAUAUGUGAAUAGAUUUUGCCCCUUCUUCAACAUAUUUGAUUGCUUCCUGUCGCAAAUUGUUAUACCUAACAGUUAAAGAUUCUCGAGAAUUGUUUGGCAAAUCAGAAGCACGUUCAUCCAACACAGCUCCACUCUUGGAAUUUCUUGUCCAUCGUUUCCAUACAUAUUGAGAAGGAAGCGUAAGGACAUUUUUUGCUCUAAAAACUGCUAAUAUGUGGCGACAAAUUAUUCCUGUAUAUUCAAACAUUUGGCAGCUGCAGCUAGCUUUCAUCUCAAAAGAAUUGAAACUAACAGUAUGUGCCUUGUGUUCUUCCCCAAAUUUGGCCACGCGAUAUAUGCUGAUGGUUCCCAAGUCUUCAAUCUUGGUGGCAGGAUUAGCAAGAGUCUCAACCAAUUCUUCCUGGAAUUUCAUGAAGAUUUUUCUAGUAUAGAGGUUGGCAGCUUGUUUUUCCAUAGGCGAAGGUGUCUUCAGAACUGGCAUAGUGUUAGCAGUGUCAUAGUCUGCCUUUAACUCCUUUUCAUGCCAACUUGCCACAGCUUUUUCAUACUGUUUGAUCAACAUCUGUAUGGUGGUUGAUGCAUUCACAUAACCUUCAAAGAAUGAAUUUAUAUCUCGACUUCCAUCAGUCACAGAAAACUCACCAAAAAAAGUGUUUCGCAUAUAAACUGGGACCCACUGCUGCCUAGCAUUGUACAUAGACUGAAGCCAUUCAUUGUCCAUGACGUAGUACCUUUUCAGGAGUGACUGCCAAGACGAUUCAAACUCAUCAAUUGUCUCAGUCUCACUGAUGCACUUUUUAAAUUCAAUUUCGAAGGUUGGAUGUGAUUGGUAUAUAUGAGCCAUUUUCUCUUGGGUUUCUCUAAAUAUACCCUGCUUACUGUAUCGAUGGCGAGUUUCAGGAAGAACUUGUGCAACAGCCACCUGUAUGAGCCGAUCAGGAUCUGUUGUGAUAGAGACUGGGUGUUGUCCAGACAUUGCAUGAAGCCAAGUUUGGAAUAGCCAAAUAAAAGAGGACUCAGAUUCAUUGAGAAGUAGAGCACAGCCAAACAAUACAGGUUGCCCGUGAUGAUUUACUCCAGUGAAAGCUGCAAAUGGUACCCUAUACCGAUUUGUCCGGUAUACAGUAUCAAAGAAAACAGUAUCUCCAAAGUAAUUAUAGUUCAACUUGGAGUUUGCAUCUGCCCAGAAUAUAUUUCCAACGGAGUGAUCAGUGUCACUCUGAAUAGCAUAAAAGAAAGUAGGAUUCUCAUCUUGCGUUCUCUUCAAAUAGUCCAGCACAUGCUGAACCCCGCUCCCGAGGGUCCUCUGCCUGCUACCACUCAUCUAACUGUUACUCUAAUCGUAUGGUAUUGACGGCGAGCGAGAGAGGUUUUGCCUUUUAGGUCUUGAUUCUUGUUGCAAUUUUUGGUGACUCGAAACUCAUAAUUCUUGGUGAUAGUUUCUGCUCUGUAGGCCAGGAGAGGGAGGAAGAGAUGGUGGCGUUUUGAAAUCCGCCGUGCAGUGCAACCGAGGACAGGAGAGGAGAGGGGGCCGUGAAAUGGUGAGACUUGAGAGGAGGAUAUUCG
This 2323-nucleotide unclassified non-coding RNA is filed under the name Hevea brasiliensis (rubber tree). Lineage: Eukaryota; Viridiplantae; Streptophyta; Magnoliopsida; Malpighiales; Euphorbiaceae. The record is from RNAcentral.